AGCAGCCGCCGCGGUAAUACGUAGGUCCCGAGCGUUGUCCGGAUUUAUUGGGCGUAAAGGGAGCGCAGGCGGUUUAGUAAGUCUGAAGUUAAAGGCAUUGGCUCAACCAAUGUAUGCUUUGGAAACUGUUAGACUUGAGUGCAGAAGGGGAGAGUGGAAUUCCAUGUGUAGCGGUGAAAUGCGUAGAUAUAUGGAGGAACACCGGUGGCGAAAGCGGCUCUCUGGUCUGUCACUGACGCUGAGGCUCGAAAGCGUGGGUAGCGAACAGGAUUAGAUACCCCAGUAGUCCCUGUCUCUUAUACA
Molecule: ribosomal RNA, 303 nt
Filed under: uncultured bacterium
Lineage: Bacteria
Description: partial 16S ribosomal RNA
Rfam family: Bacterial small subunit ribosomal RNA
Source: RNAcentral